Long non-coding RNA from Peromyscus leucopus (white-footed mouse), 306 nucleotides. RefSeq lists it as uncharacterized. The record is from RefSeq and is a predicted model, not a curated record. The transcript has 3 exons. NCBI's taxonomy places the organism in Eukaryota, Metazoa, Chordata, Mammalia, Rodentia, Cricetidae.
AUAAAUACAGGCCAGCUCCCUGGGCCAGCUCAGUCCCUAGAGAAGAGCCAGAAAGAACACAUCAAGAUACAUCUUUGUAAAGAGGCUCAUUUGAAAGAAUUAACAACAUACUUCUGCCAACCAGAAAAAGGGAACCAUAAACUGCCUGAAAAAAGCCAGAGGGAGAAGGAGUCCUGAGCCUCCAAAGUGAAGAGCUGAAAGCCUCUCUACUAAGCUCCAGUUUUAUCACAGGAACAUAUGGAAGGGACUGUUCACGAAGCUUGAGUAUGGGAAACGGUGUGCCUGCAUUGCCCAAGUCUCAUUGAU